RNAcentral lists this ribosomal RNA (378 nucleotides) under uncultured bacterium. RNAcentral describes it as "bacterial SSU rRNA". It matches the Rfam family "Bacterial small subunit ribosomal RNA", at positions 29 to 408 of the family's 1533-position model. The record is from RNAcentral.
AUUGAACGCUGGCGGAAUGCUUUACACAUGCAAGUCGAACGGCAGCACGGGGGCAACCCUGGUGGCGAGUGGCGAACGGGUGAGUAAUACAUCGGAACGUGCCCAGUCGUGGGGGAUAACGUACGCGAAAGCGUAGCUAAUACCGCAUACGAUCUACGGAUGAAAGCGGGGGAUCGCAAGACCUCGCGCGAUUGGAGCGGCCGAUGGCAGAUUAGGUAGUUGGGUGGGGAAAGCUCACCAAGCCGACGAUCUGUAGCUGGUCUGAGAGGACGACCAGCCACACUGGAACUGAGACACGGUCCAGACUCCUACGGGAGGCAGCAGUGGGGAAUUUUGGACAAUGGGCGCAAGCCUGAUCCAGCCAUUCCGCGUGCAGGA